AUGUCCUACGGGACGCAGCAGUGGGGAAUAUUGCACAAUGGGGGAAACCCUGAUGCAGCAACGCCGCGUGAAGGAAGACGGUUUUCGGAUUGUAAACUUCUGUUCUUAGUGAAGAAGAAUGACGGUAGCUAAGGAGCAAGCCCCGGCUAACUACGUGCCAGCAGCCGCGGUAAUACGUAGGGGGCGAGCGUUGUCCGGAAUCAAUGGGCGUAAAGGGCGCGUAGGCGGUAAUAUAAGUAAGAUGUGAAAGGGGGGGGCUCAACCCCUAGAGUGCAACUGAUACUGUAUAACUUGAGUGGGAGAGG
RNAcentral lists this ribosomal RNA (305 nucleotides) under uncultured bacterium. Its description in RNAcentral is "bacterial SSU rRNA". It matches the Rfam family "Bacterial small subunit ribosomal RNA", at positions 334 to 655 of the family's 1533-position model. The record is from RNAcentral.